RNAcentral lists this ribosomal RNA (229 nucleotides) under uncultured bacterium. RNAcentral's name for it is "partial 16S ribosomal RNA". It matches the Rfam family "Bacterial small subunit ribosomal RNA", at positions 568 to 796 of the family's 1533-position model. The record is from RNAcentral.
UACGUAGGCGGAAUGAUAAGUUAGUGGUGAAAGCCCCCGGCUCAACCGGGGAACUGCCAUUAAUACUGUCAUUCUUGAGUAUAGUUGAAGUGGGCGGAAUGUAUCAUGUAGCGGUGAAAUGCUUAGAUAUGAUACAGAACACCGAUAGCGUAGGCAGCUUGCUAAACUAUAACUGACGCUCAGGCACGAAAGCGUGGGGAGCAAACAGGAUUAGAUACCCUGGUAGUCC